Molecule: non-coding RNA, 74 nt
Organism: Aedes albopictus (Asian tiger mosquito)
Lineage: Eukaryota; Metazoa; Arthropoda; Insecta; Diptera; Culicidae
Source: Rfam
UGUUCUGUAGCUUAGUUGGUUAAAGCGCCGAACUAGCGAUAACGGAGUCGUGGGUUCGAAUCCCACCAAAACAA